CUGUAUCUUGCAGGAAAUGUCUAGCUGAUGGAAGCCUUCUCAGUGAGGCAGUGGUGGAUUCUGAGAAUGUUGUAGCUGCCGUAAAUGUAAGUACUUGGAGCACCAAAUGAGAAUAUUUGGCUGCUAUAUAAUUAACACAACAACUUCCUGUAUUUGGAGCACUGCAACAUCCUAGAACUCUUUCAAUGAGGAAGCCCCAUUACUGUUCUUUAGGCCAUGGAGAGUGCCAAUGUUAUGAAGUGAAGCCUAAUUUUUAAGACAAAAUCUAAGAAGAGCAGGAGAUCAGUGAAUUAGAACUUGACUUGGAUUUUUUUUUCUGUUCUCCUAUUUUGUAGAUACAAUUAGCAUUAUCAUACCCAUUUAGAUUGCUAUGAGAUUAUAACAACUAUCUAUUAUGAUUAAUUUACUGUUCUUUUGGUCA
Rosa chinensis is the source of this 421-nucleotide long non-coding RNA. RefSeq lists it as uncharacterized. NCBI's taxonomy places the organism in Eukaryota, Viridiplantae, Streptophyta, Magnoliopsida, Rosales, Rosaceae. The record is from RefSeq and is a predicted model, not a curated record. The transcript has 2 exons.